This 301-nucleotide ribosomal RNA is filed under the name uncultured bacterium. Its description in RNAcentral is "partial 16S ribosomal RNA". It matches the Rfam family "Bacterial small subunit ribosomal RNA", at positions 509 to 807 of the family's 1533-position model. The record is from RNAcentral.
CAGUCGCCACGGUAAUACGAGGGGGGCAAGCGUUGUUCGGAAUUAUUGGGCGUAAAGGGUGCGUAGGCGGUCUGAUAAGUCUGAUGUGAAAUCUAUGGGCUCAACCCCUAGUCUGCAUUAGAAACUGUCGGGCUUGAGUAUGGGAGAGGUGAGUGGAAUUUCCGGUGUAGCGGUGAAAUGCGUAGAUAUCGGAAGGAACACCUGUGGCGAAAGCGGCUCACUGGACCAUUACUGACGCUGAUGCACGAAAGCUAGGGGAGCAAACAGGAUUAGAUACCCCAGUAGUCCCUGUCUCUUAUAC